RNAcentral lists this long non-coding RNA (1049 nucleotides) under Salmo salar (Atlantic salmon). Its description in RNAcentral is "lncRNA (ENSSSAG00000082317.1)". The record is from RNAcentral. Lineage: Eukaryota; Metazoa; Chordata; Actinopteri; Salmoniformes; Salmonidae.
CGGAGCUGCCGGAGUGGCCCGAGCUGCCCGGAGCUGCCGGAGUGGCCCGAGCUGCCAGACUGCCCCGACUGCCCCGAGCUGCCAGACUGGCCCGACUGCCCCGAGCUGCCAGACUGCCCCGAGCUGCCAGACUGCCCCGAGCUGCCAGCCUGCCCCGAGCUGCCAGACUGCCCCCACUGCCCCCCGGCGAUGCCAGAGUGGCCCGACUGCCUGGAACGGCCAGAACCGGAGCCACCUCCAGAUAUAGAGGACCUGAACCCUAGGACCAUGCCUCAGGACAACCUGGCCUGAUGACUCCUCACUGUCCCCAGUCCACCUGGUCGUGCUGCUGCUCCAGUUUCAACUGUUCUGCCUGCGGCUAUGGAACCCGGACGUCCUACCUGUCCCAGACCUGCUGUUUUCAACUCUCUAGAGACAUCAGGAGCGGUAGAGAUACCGUGAAUAAUCGGCUAUGAAAAGCCAACUGACAUUUACUCCUGAGGUGCUGACCUGUUGCAUGCUCUACAACCACUGUGAUUAUUAUUAUUUCACCCUGCUGGUCAUCUAUGAAGAUUUGAACAUCUUGGCCAUGUUCUGUUAUAAUCUCCCCCUGGCACAGCCAGAAGAGGACUGGCCACCCCUCAUAGCCUGGUUCCGCUCUAGGUUUCUUCCUAGGUUCCUGCCUUUCUAGGGAGUUUUUCCUAGCCACCGUGCUUCUACACCUGCAUUGCUUGCUGUUUGGGGUUUUAGGCAGGAUCAGCUGAUGUAAGAAGGGCUUUAUAAAUACAUUUGAUUGAAAUUUGAUUGAAUGUGCGGGGGCAUGGGUGUCAAGGUAAUUGAGGUAAUAUGUACAUGUAGGUAGAGUUAUUAAAGUGACUAUGCUAGAUAAUAACAGAGAGUAGCAGCAACGUCCCAAUCUAUAACUAGGGUGGCUGGAAUAUUUGACCCUUUUUAAGGCCUUCCUCUGACACCGCCUGGUAUAGAGGUCCUGGAUGGCAGGAAGCUUGGCCCCAGUGGUGUACUGGGCCGUACACAGGGGCGUUGCCAUGAAAAAAACACUCCUGGGCCCC